AAACGUUCAACUGUAUAUUUUCCAAUAGCCAUGUCAAUUUCUUUACCACGGGCACGUUGGCUUUUACCUUUUCUUUUUUCGGAAAGAAAAUCUUUUUUCAGUAAAGUCGCAAGAUCACCCAUGUCAUCCACAAUUGCUUUAGGUUGUGGAUUGGCGUAGAACUGCACUCGUUCAGCAUGUACGUCUUUUUUACGCUUAACAAUUUCGGAAAUUGCAGGGAGAACAAGCGACAUAGCUGUUAAAUUCGUUAGCUUUUCCUGUAAAUCAUUGUAGAGAAUCCUCGCAGCCUCUAAGUUUUCAGAACUCGAUGCAACGCCUCCAACACCCAUUGCAU
This is a non-coding RNA of Schizosaccharomyces pombe (fission yeast), 334 nucleotides long. The record is from the annotation of a GenBank genome assembly. Lineage: Eukaryota; Fungi; Ascomycota; Schizosaccharomycetes; Schizosaccharomycetales; Schizosaccharomycetaceae.